RNAcentral lists this ribosomal RNA (305 nucleotides) under uncultured bacterium. RNAcentral describes it as "bacterial SSU rRNA". It matches the Rfam family "Bacterial small subunit ribosomal RNA", at positions 333 to 654 of the family's 1533-position model. The record is from RNAcentral.
CUGUGCCUACGGGGGGCAGCAGUGGGGAAUAUUGCACAAUGGGGGAAACCCUGAUGCAGCGACGCCGCGUGGGCGAGGAAGUACCUCGGUAUGUAAAGCCCUAUCAGCAGGGAAGAAACAGGACAGUACCUGACUAAGAAGCCCCGGCUAACUACGUGCCAGCAGCCGCGGUAAUACGUAGGGGGCAAGCGUUAUCCGGAUUUACUGGGUGUAAAGGGAGCGUAGACGGCAGCGCAAGUCUGAAGUGAAAUGCCGGGGCUUAACCCCGGAACUGCUUUGGGAACUGUGCAGCUAGAGUGCAGGAG